AAAGGCCUGCAGCUUGCUGCGGGUACUCGAGUGGCGAACGGGUGAGUAACACGUGGGUGAUCUGCCUUGCACUUCGGGAUAAGCUUGGGAAACUGGGUCUAAUACCGGAUAGGACAGCUGUUUAGUGUCAGUUGUGGAAAGUUUUUUCGGUGCAAGAUGAGCUCGCGGCCUAUCAGCUUGUUGGUGGGGUAAUGGCCUACCAAGGCGUCGACGGGUAGCCGGCCUGAGAGGGUGUACGGCCACAUUGGGACUGAGAUACGGCCCAGACUCCUACGGGAGGCAGCAGUGGGGAAUAUUGCACAAUGGGCGGAAGCCUGAUGCAGCGACGCCGCGUGGGGGAUGAAGGCCUUCGGGUUGUAAACUCCUUUCGACAGGGACGAAGCGUAAGUGACGGUACCUGUAUAAGAAGCACCGGCUAACUACGUGCCAGCAGCCGCGGUAAUACGUAGGGUGCGAGCGUUGUCCGGAAUUACUGGGCGUAAAGAGCUCGUAGGUGGUUUGUCGCGUCGUCUGUGAAAUUCCGGGGCUUAACUCCGGGCGUGCAGGCGAUACGGGCUGACUUGAGUGCUGUAGGGGAGACUGGAAUUCCUGGUGUAGCGGUGAAAUGCGCAGAUAUCAGGAGGAACACCGAUGGCGAAGGCAGGUCUCUGGGCAGUAACUGACGCUGAGGAGCGAAAGCAUGGGUAGCGAACAGGAUUAGAUACCCUGGUAGUCCAUGCCGUAAACGGUGGGCGCUAGGUGUAGGGGGCUUCCACGUCUUCUGUGCCGUAGCUAACGCAUUAAGCGCCCCGCCUGGGGAGUACG
This 804-nucleotide ribosomal RNA is filed under the name uncultured Actinomycetes bacterium. RNAcentral describes it as "bacterial SSU rRNA". It matches the Rfam family "Bacterial small subunit ribosomal RNA", at positions 70 to 884 of the family's 1533-position model. Lineage: Bacteria; Bacillati; Actinomycetota; Actinomycetes. The record is from RNAcentral.